Quercus robur (English oak) is the source of this 2180-nucleotide long non-coding RNA. RefSeq lists it as uncharacterized. Lineage: Eukaryota; Viridiplantae; Streptophyta; Magnoliopsida; Fagales; Fagaceae. The record is from RefSeq and is a predicted model, not a curated record. The transcript is spliced from 3 exons.
CUCUCUCAUUCUCUCCUUCUCAUCAACAUCGCCGUCACCCAGUGAACCCACUCUCUCUCAAAUCUCCAGGCGAGUCCACAGCCACAGCCACACGGCCACAGCCUUGUCGCCGCCGCCCUCAACUCCUCUAGUCGUCACUCUCACCGAUCGGCACAGCCAACACUCACGGCCUCACUGCUUCGCCGCCUCCCCCCUUAAUCGCUCCCAUUUUCCCUCCUCCUUGCGCCUAAUAUGUUCUUCUCUCUCUUUUUUUUUUGCCAUUCUUGUUUGGGUUCGUUAGGAUUUGGGACCUUUGGGAUCGUUAGGGUUUGGGUUCCAAUUUUUUUUUUUUUGAGAAUCUGGUUUGGGUUCCUAUUAGGUUUGGGUUCGUUGCCAUUCCUGUUUCUCAAUGAUAUGUUCUUCACUCUUUUUUUUUUUGUGAUUUCUGUGUUUGUGUUUGUGAUUUUGAAAAGGGAAAGUAUAAAUCUAAAAUUUUUGUGUUUGAGUUUAUGUUAGGAUUUGUGUUUGUGUUUGUGAUUUUGAAAGGGAAAAUAAAAAAUCUGAAAUUUUUGUGUUUGUGUUUGGGGUUUUGGUGGCUGCUCUGGUCCGAUUGAAGAACAUGAUCUUAGGGUUUUUGUUUUUGGGUUUCUGAUCUAGGUUGAUGAACAUGAUUUUGGGGUUUUUGUUUUUGGGUUUCUGAUCUAGAUUGAUGAACAUGAUCUUGGCAUCUUGGGGGUUUUUUUGGGUUUCUGAUCUAGGUCCGUUUGUGGAGGUUUUGGGCUUCAGGCCAUUUUUUUUUUCAUUGGGCCACGGAUUAGGCCCUGAAGUGGCAUGGGCUGGGCGGGGCCCGUGGGACCCGGCGGGCGGGUCUGGGCCCCGCAUAAAAAACCCCUUUAUUAAACGGGCCGGGUUCGGGUUUUGGAGCAGGCUCGCGAGUCGGGUUCGGAUAUGGAAAAACCCGGCUCGAAUCCGACCCGUUACCAUUCCUAUUUAAGAGCCAAAAAUUAUAAUUUUCCAUUACGUUAAACACUGUUUGGAGCAGUGUUGGUAUAAAAGAAAACUAACCGCUUAAGACAAAAAAAAAAAAAAAAAGAUCGCUACACGGAGAAAGGAGAAAGAGAGACCGAGAGAAAAGAGAGACAGAGAAAUAGAGAGGCAGAGAACGGAGAAGGAGAGAGAGAUCGAGAGAUAAAAACUGCGGUUUGCAUGUCUCUCAUUUCCUGUCAAAUUUUCUGCCAUCACCGUAAGCCUCCACUCGCUACCCGACCAUCGGAAUCGCUACUUAUUUGGUUUUGAUUAAGGGAUACGAAGAUAGAGGAACCAAGCAGAGUUCGUAGCGAUACAGAGAAAGGGAAGGAGACAAAAAAAAGUUUGCGGCAUAGUGGAGAUUCGACUGAAACUGAAAGGUCAAGAAGGAUUGCCCAAAUUUCCUUUUGUUGGAUUUAUAUUUUGGAAACCGAAACAUUUAGAAUCACCGAAACAUUUAGAAUCAACAUUAAGAGAAAGUUGGUAACUGUAAGUCACGCACAAAGACGAAGAGAUGGACAAAGAGAAAGAGGAAACAGAGUAUUUCCACCCAUCAGCAGGUAAAGCUUUUAAAUAAAAAAAACAAAUUCGGCUUUAAAGUCUAGAAUUUGGGUUGGAAUCCGUUUGAACUAAAGUCUUUUGGUUAGAAUCAAAUAAUUGCUUUAAGAGAUUUAUUUUAUUUUGGGUAUUUGUGUUAGAUUUAAUUUUGUUUAGGGUAUUUGUUUUUAUAAAACAUCAAUUGACUCAAAUUUAAACUUCGCUUUUAAGAUAAUGUGGUGUUGAAGAACUCAUGUGGCUAACAUGUUUUAUUCUUUACAAAUUCUCAUCACAGUUUUAAAAAAAUCAUGUGGGUUGCAUGUUUUGUUCAUUAAGAAUGAUACUGCAGUCCCAUGGUUUUUCCUAUAUUUGCUAGGGAUUGACAAGUGAUAUUUUAAUUAGUUCAUGCAUGUGAUUUGUAUAGUGUAUAUUAGGUUAUAGUACCUUGGUAUCUACAGAAAGUUUUUUGUUAUGUUCUAUAAUUUCACAGCUUUAACACGAGUUCCUUUUCUCCCCUACUUGGAUCAAGCCACAUUGGUUUUUGGUGGACUUAGGAAGAAUUUUGCAGGGGUGGGUCAUUUGAAUUAAGCAUAUAAUACAAAGUUUAAUUUAUUAUCUAUGUUUUUUUUUUUUGGGGG